GCAUGGAUUAGGCAUGCAAGUCCAGCGGAAAGGCCCCGCAAGGGGUGCUCGAGCGGCGUAAGGGACAGUAAUGUAUAGGUACGUACCCCCGGGUCUGGGAUAGCUGCGGGAAACUGCAAUUAAUACCAGAUGACGUCUCCGGACCAAAGGUGUGAUUCCGCCUGGGGAGCGGCCUGUAUCCUAUUAGCUAGUUGGUGUGGUGACGGCGCACCAAGGCAAAGAUGGGGAGCAGGUGUGAGAGCACGACCUGCGUCACUGGGACUGAGACACUGCCCAGACACCUACGGGUGGCUGCAAUCGAGGAUCUUCGGCUAUGAGCGCAAGCUUGACCGAGCGACGUCGCGUGUGGGAUGAAGGCCUUCGGGUUCUAAACCACUGU
Molecule: ribosomal RNA, 379 nt
Filed under: uncultured bacterium
Lineage: Bacteria
Description: bacterial SSU rRNA
Rfam family: Bacterial small subunit ribosomal RNA
Source: RNAcentral